CCUACGGGCGUCAGCAGUGAGGAAUAUUGGUCAAUGGACGCAAGUCUGAACCAGCCAUGCCGCGUGCAGGAAGACGGCCCUAUGAGUUGUAAACCGCUUUUGUACGAGGGUAAACGCAGAUACGCGUAUCUGUCUGCAAGUACCGUACGAAUAAGCAUCGGCUAACUCCGUGCCAGCAGCCGCGGUAAUACGGAGGAUUCAAGCGUUAUCCGGAUUUAUUGGGUUUAAAGGGUGCGUAGGCGGUCGGAUAAGUUAGUGGGGAAAUCUCGGGGCUCAACCUCGGAAUUGCCUUUGAUACUGUUCGGCUAGAGAGUAGUUGAGGUAGGCGGAAUGUAUGGUGUAGCGGUGAAAUGCUUAGAGAUCAUACAGAACACCGAUUGCGAAGGCAGCUUACCAGGCUACUUCUGACGUUGAGGCACGAAAGCGUGGGGAGCAAACAGGAUUAGAUACCCUGGUAGUC
This 460-nucleotide ribosomal RNA is filed under the name uncultured bacterium. Its description in RNAcentral is "partial 16S ribosomal RNA". It matches the Rfam family "Bacterial small subunit ribosomal RNA", at positions 338 to 795 of the family's 1533-position model. The record is from RNAcentral.